Myxocyprinus asiaticus (Chinese sucker) is the source of this 77-nucleotide small nucleolar RNA. RefSeq annotates it as small nucleolar RNA SNORD61. The record is from RefSeq and is a predicted model, not a curated record. NCBI's taxonomy places the organism in Eukaryota, Metazoa, Chordata, Actinopteri, Cypriniformes, Catostomidae. The transcript has a single exon.
GCUGUGAUGAUGGAUUGUGGAAGUGAUCUACUGGAACUGAUGUAGUCCACAUUUGUCCUCUAAGAAGUUCUGAGCUU